CCCCUAGAUGUUCUGGGCCGCACGCGCGCUACACUGAACAGUUCAACAAGUCUUAACCUUGGCCGAUAGGUCUGGGUAAUCUUUGAACGCUGUUCGUGAUUGGGAUAGACCUUUGCAAUUAUGGGUCUUCAACGAGGAAUUCCUAGUAAACGCAAGUCAUCAGCUUGCAUUGAUUACGUCCCUGCCCUUUGUACACACCGCCCGUCGCACCUACCGAUUGAAUGGUCCGGUGAAAUCUCGGGACGGCGGCUUGGUCGCUUGCGUCCGACUGCUGAAACUUGAUUAAACCAUAUCAUUUAGAGGAAGGUGAANUUGUAACA
RNAcentral lists this ribosomal RNA (320 nucleotides) under uncultured eukaryote. Its description in RNAcentral is "partial 18S ribosomal RNA". It matches the Rfam family "Eukaryotic small subunit ribosomal RNA", at positions 1470 to 1796 of the family's 1831-position model. The record is from RNAcentral.